This is a long non-coding RNA of Monodelphis domestica (gray short-tailed opossum), 11443 nucleotides long. RefSeq lists it as uncharacterized. The record is from RefSeq and is a predicted model, not a curated record. Lineage: Eukaryota; Metazoa; Chordata; Mammalia; Didelphimorphia; Didelphidae.
AUAGGGUGGAAUAACCUAAAGUUCACACUUGUCAUCUCACCUCCAUCUCAUAGGCUUUCCCUCUGUGCCUGGGAUGUACCUCCUCUGUAGCAGUCCACUCCUAACUAGGGGCAAGGGGAAAACAGUAUGUGCAGAUUGCUCAGUCUUGGGCAUGCUCAGUAGUGCUCAUGGCUGGGAAGGCCUAUGACCCUUGACCCCAGCUUCUCCCAGGUUAGGCGGGAAAACAGGUUUCUUUGUUCUCACCUGGUUAAGAGAAACCACACCUACGCCUUGUCAUUAACCAAUGAGAAUCAUCCCUAUGUACUGUGUAUAUUUGCAUAUCAAAAACUAUAUCUAGCCCAGCAGGCUCCGCCUUCGCUCUCUCUGCUCUCUGCCCUCUGCCCUCUGCUCUCUGCGCUCCUUCUCUUUCAGGCUACCUGAUGGCUGUCCUUGCAGGAGCUUGGCCUCUGGCCAAGCUCCAUCUUUAAUCUUUCUCUAUUCACCUCUCUGACCUGCGUGGAAUGGAUCUCAGGACUGGAAUAGCCUACUGAAUUGGUCCUUUGAUCAGAGCUUAGCUGUGGCUCAUUGAUAAUUAAUAAAGACUCAUUCUGAACACCUCAUAUCUCUACUAGGACUCCGUCACUUCCCUCGUGGUAUCAAAACUUCUAUCCUGUCUCUAUCUUCCUACCUUGUGGCUUCUCUCACCUCAGAGAGAGCUACAGAUGGCGCCCAACUUUCUCGUGGCAUUCCACUCUUUUAUUUCACACAGCGAAUGGCAGAACGCGUUCGAGGACACGAGGCUAAUAGUAGGCGGGUGCCGGAAGUCCAGGAAGGUUGCCGAUCCUCUGGCCAAGGACGGUAAGUCCUCCUCUGCUUGAGGUGGGUCUCCCCUCUGAACCCUGCUCGACUCUUAAUGUCGUAGCUUGAUAGGGGAGAAAUGGAAGUCUCAAGAGCUUAAUUGCCUGAGACGGUGAAUCAGGAUGAGGGAAGCACACGAUCGGUCAGAGAGGGAUUCUUAAACUAUCUCUGUCAGGGAGGUGCAGUUUCCCUCCCCCACCUGGGUCUGCUAGUCGGAGGCCUCCUCUCUCGGACCUGGAUCUCCGGAGGUUAAGAAACACCUGAGGAGUGGUCUGAGGGGGAGGGGAAGAAAAAGGACAUUUGACCCAGGGAAACCCUCACUAGGGGCUAUUGAAAACUUGAGAAAUCAGUCUGAAACAAACAGUUGCUAGAGCCUAGUGAAUUUCAAAAGGAGCAACUGGGAAAAGAAAAAGCAGGAGUUAAAAUUUCAUCAGGAAAGCAAAGUCAAAUUUACCUGCUAUUCAUACGCAAAAGCGGGAAAGGCUAGCUAAGACGCAAGGCAGAAACUGCUGCAGAAUGCUAAGGAGUUCUUUCUUAAGCACUUCUUAUUUCAAAAGUUCUGCAAGCUAAUCUUUACAAGAAACUCCCUGUGCCUUUUCAGGAGAGGUCGGACUCAGAUGCAUUUGAAAGGCCUAUCAGGAAGUGGUUGCUUUCAGGGCAUUUAAAAGAUCAGAAUUACUUGGAAAAAACGGAUAAAAAACAAAAAAUUUUUCUAAUAAAACCGUAGGUCUCAGCACAAUUAAGGAAUCAAGGUAAUAAUCCUGAAUUAGGUUAAAUUCGGAACAGCCUAAGUUGUAAAAAGAUAUUGCCAUUCCGUAACCAAAGGCAGAAGAUUUUUUUUUAAACAAGCAAGCCUCCGAACUCAUUUAGCAUGUGAAAAAGCUCCUAGGAACUCUUUUGUUUGAGGUCCAGCCAGGUAAAGGCAGGCUUUACCUGGGCGAUUGCAAAUACAGUAAAGUAAGAUUUGGGAAUUUGAAUUUUAAUUUAGGUUGGCUGUAGGCAACAUUAUAAAGGAAUGUCUGCUUAUAUUUUUUGAUAAAGGAAGUUAAAAAAGGAGAAUCAAAUAUCUUUCUCUGACUUUUGUUAUAUGCCACAGAAUAUCAGGACUAGAAAUGUUUUAUCUGUAGAGAAAUUUUGGUAUGAAUCACAAGGUAGUUAAAGUGCACACAGAAAACUUUUAAGGUUUGGGCUUAGAUCUGAAGCAGCUUGAAAUGUUUUCUCUCUACCGGCCACGUGGCUGGAGCCACAUGGAAGAUAGCAUCAGAGCAACUGAGGUUGCAAGUUGUAUCACUAAGGCUGUAAUUGGCUAGAAGGAAAACUUUAAUACUAAGAUAUAAUAAGCAUGAAUUGGAAUAUGAUUUAAAGGAAUUUCUAAGGCUUUCUAAUUUUAACUAUGGAGGAAUUAUUAACACUUUUCUAAGCAGGACAUAAAGCAACAGGAUGAAUCUUGAGCAGAGCUUAUUCAAACAGCCUGUAUGCAGUUCAGAAACUUUUUACUGGGCAUAUUAACAUACCUGUAUCCAGAAAGCAAAUGAUUUAUAACUAAAAUAGCUUUUACUAUGGAAAAUUAAGACACAUGCUCAGCAGAGUAAAAGCAUGGUUAGAAGGAUUCAAUCUGUUUACCAGUGGUUAAUUAUUAAGGUUAUCAGGAACUCUGUUACUCAGUACAGUGAUUUAUUAAGGAUUUGAAAGAGGCAAUACUAUCAGGUAUUAAAAUUGCAGAUAUUGAAGCUGAUCAUGAUAUUGAAAAGAGACCUAUGAUAAUAAUGCAAAUUCAAAGAUUACUGGCAUAAUUUGAUUUAUUUCUGCAGGGAAGAUUUGCAGAAUUAGCAGAUGGAAGUAAUGAUUUUAGUCACAGUAUUAAGAUCUUUUCAGUUAUGAAGCUAAGGGCAGUAGUUCAGAAAUAACAACUUCUGUGCAAUUGUUUGAUAAUUCUGUGCAUAUUUUUACAGCAUAAGACAAUGCUAUAAUUUUAAUAACUGCACAAGGUGGAAAUUUUUCAAAAAGCAAAAAUUGUGUGCAGGCAGACAAAGACCUAAGAUCCCAGCACACAUGGGUCAAUUCAUAAGUAAUUUAUAGAAUGAUAUUUUUAUGAUUAUGGGUUUGAAAAAGCAAAUAUUUAAGCAUCUAUACAUGCUGUUUUGAACACACAGCUGCUGGCAUUCUCUGCUCUAGCAGAGGGCCAGAUCUAUGGUACAUCUAUAUCCUGAACAAGCAGGUGAUAUCGCUUAUCAAUGCAAACUGCUGUGGAUUAAUUUCACCCCUGAUAAAUAUCCACUGUAUAUUUUGGAGCAAAAGGUGCAUUUCAGUUUGCUCCUGGCACAAAGGUUGAACUGGGAAAAGUGAUGGGAGAUACUUACUCUCCUGGUUUAUGGGUUCAAGCUCAAAUGAAGAAGUGAGCAAAGUGAUUGCAGAUUUUAUGAAUAACUGUGCACUACUGUCUAUUCCAAACAGCUUGGAAUAGCAGGGCUUUUAACAGCAAUGCAAAGGCUAAAUUGCAUAGCUCAUGGCUUACAUGCAAGCUAUGGUAAAUAGAGCUCAAAGGAAUUCAUGAGCCCCAAGGUUCAAGCACUGAAGGUAUAUAUGUUCUGUCACUUUCUAACUUUCUAAGACCCAAUGAGGCUUUCAUUUGGGGUCGAGGUCUUGUUUAUAUGUUCACAGAUAAUGAAAACAUCUGGUCACCCACGUCAUGCUUCAUGCCAGCUGAUACAGACCAGGAAGAGAAGCAGACGGAAGGUGAUGGCAUCAGCUAUCUACAUGCCAGCCACAAUCCAGACUCGCUGGAAGGACACUUCUUUGGUGACUAAUAUCACUCUAGAACAAUGACAUUACACUAUUAGAGACAUUGGCUAUUAGGCCACUGAAGGACACUUGUCAUGCUGACAUCCAUUGAGAUGGGGUACCCAGAGCAACAUCAAGUAUGCUAAUGCAGAAGGACUAAAUCACACUUGUGUCUGUACAAGACACCAGAUAUGUCCCACAUUCCAAAGACUUUGCGAUGGGAUUGAGAUGAAAUAGCUACAAAUUGUCUAGCUACUAAAGGAUACCUUGUAUUUUGUAUAUGAUACUGUCAAAAGAAAUGUAUAUUGUAUGCAUUGUAAAGCUACCACUUGUAUUGUAAGAAAUGCUGUUAUCAACAAGGGUAUAGACCUUGGUAUGACUCUCCAAAGAGCAGGAGAUAGAAAACUCUCAUUCAUAGCAUAGAUCUGAUAUCUCUGACAACAAAAAUGAGGUGCUAAGCAAAAAAUGCUGCACAGACAGGUUUAAUGGACAGAUGACACUGAUGUUACUCUCGAGAAAGGAUGAGAGAUCAGGAAAAAGACACUAGGAAAUCUUUAAUCAGGAACUUGAGUUAUUGUAAGAGAUCAUUGACAUCCAGGCAAAGAUUAUGUUCCUGACAUUACAUUAAGGGCUGACUACCAGAGAUGUAGUUAAGUGUUAAUACCAUUGCUAACCAUUACUCCUGAUACCCUGUCUUUGUGGGUAAUAUCUUGAUAGGAAAAAUGUCUUGCUCUCCUCCAACAGUCCCAGAAUUCAGACGGCCGCUGGAUUCGGGAUCUAUUGGCUUCCCUUUCAUAUACUGGAAGACGUUCUGGUAUAUGGAAGUAAGACCUCAUGAAAAACUGAGGGCUCUAGGUUUGACAAUUUCUGUGGACGCGCAGUCAUUGUCUCUCCUAGGUGGAAAAAAUACAAAAACAUGGAGCAAGGGCAAAGUAUAAUCUAAGUUUUACUGUUUUGGAGUAUGGAUUGAAAACAUGACACAAUAGGCACAGAUAAGCGUGCAGAAAAAGCACAUUGAAUAUUAUUCACUGACAACUAGGAAUGAAAAAGCUAUGUCAAAUGCUGUAGGUACAAGAAACUGUAGAAAUUGUUUCUACAUGGGGAACAACUUAAGCUUCUAUUUACCCAAACAUUGGUUUGGUGGAAUGAAUUUUGCAAAUAUUGGUAAUGGUAUAGGCUUGGUUACCAUAUUGAUGGGUUUAUUUAUACAAGCAGAGAUUUAAAAUAAGGAAGACAUUAGGAAUAUGCAGUCAGAACUUGAAAUAUUACUUCAUUAUCACCAUCAUGGUUAUUUAAGUUACAAUUGAGAAUGUAAAAUGGAUGGGAAUAUUGGUAUUUGUUAAAAAUUUGCACUGUGAUUGAUGUAUUGAUGUUUUUGCAAAGCCUGUAAUGGUGCAAAAUUAUGUUCAUAUACAAGGCGAAUUUUGAUCUAUUUAGAUCAGGAAUUGGAAAUCAUUGGGAAAAUAAGUUCUGAUAUUUUACAUUGGCUCAGUUUCAAAGAUACCACAUAGACAGUGAGCCAAGAGAAUCUUGUAUUAAUUUUGGGAUCAGGUUCCCAGGAUCAAUUUUCUGAGAUCAUUUGACAUGUGAUAACAUGAUCCUCCAGAAUUGUUAAGAGAGGAUGUUUUUCUUUGAAGGGAUCUCUCCCAACACACAAACAAAAAGAAAAGGGAGAGGAAUCUUAUAGAGAUCAGUAUUUAUAUUUUUAGAGGAAAAUUUUUAAAGUCACUCUUGAUUGAUCAACCUUGAUUUUUUCUUUUACACUAUUAAGGCCAGAAUUUUUAAGUACAAGGAAGAUACUGUUAAUGCUCUGAUCCAGAAUUAUGAAGGUGCAAAGAUUUCUAGAAUUACAGUCACCUAACAGUCGGUGAACAUGAGAACAUGACAGCAAUUGUUAAUUUUCAGAUGACCAUACUGGAGAGUGAUGUCUGAUUGCAUGUAAGGGGAAUCAUAAUGAAUCUUUCAUUAUGGACCAGACAGCCUCAGCCACGGUUACAUUUUCCAUGUGAAAUGGAUGUUUGAGGUUGGGAAAUGCAGAGACAUGGCGUACUGACACCCUCAGUCGCUGGAUGUCCUGGCAUCGAGCUACCAACCAGUUUUCUAUGUGGCAGGCAUCUGGCAGUGAGCACGGAAAGAUCCCCAAGAUGCAGUAUCAGGACGAGAGAAAAGAAGGACUUAUCCUUCAUCUCCAGGGAUAGUAUUUUGCUAACUGUUGAAAAGGCUGACAACUUCUGAUAGUCCAGACUGUGAAUGGUGGCAUGUUUGGUUGUUGCACCUGUCAUGUGAGCCAUAGAGUUCUACCUCAUUAGACCAGGAUCAGUAGCGUGGAAAUUAUUUUCUUAACAUUUUUAUAUCUACUAAGACUGUUGCAUUGAUCUUGAAAUGCAGACAGACAGAUAGAAAGAUCAGUUUGGGAAUUUUUAAGAUUGAUCACUGAAUCAGUUUAUGCUGAUGUUCAUUCUUGAUUGGGAUAUCUAAGUUAUACAAUCAGGAUAGAUUUUUCAUCUCUGUAUCAGAAUAUGAUUAUGCACCAGAGUGUUUGUAUUUGUUAAUGCUGUAAUGUUGCUACAUUUUGAUAUUACACUAUUCAUUUGUGUGUAAAACAAAAAGGGGGAGAUGUAGCAGUCCACUCCUAACUAGGGGCAAGGGGAAAACAGUAUGUGCAGAUUGCUCAGUCUUGGGCAUGCUCAGUAGUGCUCAUGGCUGGGAAGGCCUAUGACCCUUGACCCCAGCUUCUCCCAGGUUAGGCGGGAAAACAGGUUUCUUUGUUCUCACCUGGUUAAGAGAAACCACACCUACGCCUUGUCAUUAACCAAUGAGAAUCAUCCCUAUGUACUGUGUAUAUUUGCAUAUCAAAAACUAUAUCUAGCCCAGCAGGCUCCGCCUUCGCUCUCUCUGCUCUCUGCCCUCUGCCCUCUGCUCUCUGCGCUCCUUCUCUUUCAGGCUACCUGAUGGCUGUCCUUGCAGGAGCUUGGCCUCUGGCCAAGCUCCAUCUUUAAUCUUUCUCUAUUCACCUCUCUGACCUGCGUGGAAUGGAUCUCAGGACUGGAAUAGCCUACUGAAUUGGUCCUUUGAUCAGAGCUUAGCUGUGGCUCAUUGAUAAUUAAUAAAGACUCAUUCUGAACACCUCAUAUCUCUACUAGGACUCCGUCACUUCCCUCGUGGUAUCAAAACUUCUAUCCUGUCUCUAUCUUCCUACCUUGUGGCUUCUCUCACCUCAGAGAGAGCUACAUCCUCCUUCCCCCCUCCCCCAUCCUUAAGAAUUUACUUAUCUUUGUUCCAUUUUCUUAUUCUCCAAGUAAAAUGCAAGUUCCUUGAGGCCAAGGACUACUUUGUAUUCCCAGGGACCAGCAUAAUGUCUUAUACAUAAGGGACAUUUAGCAAAUGUUUGUGGAAGUGGAGAUGUGGAGUCAUACAGAACUGUCUCCAUCCUCAUUCUGGGAAAUGCAUCUCUAUUAACAUUAAGUAAAUUUGUAAUUCCUCCUUUAGCUGCCAGGUUAUCCUGCUGGUCCCUAUUUAGCUUGUGGCCCACUAAGAGCCCCAUAACUUUAUUUAGUAAGAAUUGUUUUCUAAUCAUGCUUCCUCCCUUCUGUACUUGGACAGCUGAUUUUUUUUAACCCAUAUGUAGUACUUUAUACUUGUUCUUUUGAAAUUUCAUCCUAUUAGGUUCAGCCCCUGCUUCCAGCCUAUCAAAAUGGAUCUGACUCUGGUGUUCAGCAUUUUAACUAAUUCUCUCAGCUUCUUGUCAUCUGUACAUUUUGAUAAGCUUGCCACUUUUGCUCAUAAACAUCCAAGUCAUUGAAAUAAAAGGUUAAGCAACCAAGGAUGAAUCUCUGAGACAUUCCAUUCCAUCAAUCCAUGUAUCACUGCUAUUUGGUCACAGAACUGGCCUCUAUUGCUUCAUCUGGUCCAAAUGGACAUCACGACAGUGCAAGACCAUUAAUAAAGAGGUUGCUUGAAUAGCAGCCUCACAGUUUCUCCACAUUCUGUAGGAGGACUAAAUGGCUGGGGCACUGUGAGUCUAGAAGGAUCUCUGAAGGACCCAUGGAAGAACCAGGGAUUUAUAACAAAAUCAGUAUUUCUCUAAGGGAAACCCUGAGUUCGAUUUCUUCCAAAAACUAAUGUGAGGGGCAUCUAGGUAGCAAAAUGCAUGGAGCUGGCCUGGAGUUGGGAGGUCCUGGGCUCAAAUCUGGCCUCAGACACUUCCCAGCUGUGUGACCCUGGGCAAGUCACUUGACCCCAGUUGCUUAGCCCUUACUUCUCUUCUGCCUUGGAACUGAUAAUUAGUAUUAAUUCAUAUGAUUGGUAUUAAUAUAUUAUAUUAGUAUUAAUUAGUACCUGGUAUUACUUCAUUAAUUAAUAGCAAUUUAGUAUUAAUUCUAAGACAGAAGGUAAGAGAUUUUUUUUAAAAAGACUUAAUAUAAGUGCUUUGGGAAUUUUCUGUAGCAAUUCAAGGCUCCUAGGAGGCCUUGAAAGCUUUUGCAUUUUCUCUAGUGUGUUAAAUAAUUGUUUUUUAGUUGUUCUUUCCACAUAUGUUGUUGUAGUUGUGUAUAUUCUUUUCAGUUCUGCUUAUUUUACUUUGUAUCAGUUCAUACCAAUCCUCCAUGCUUUAUUAAGUUUAUUUUAUUUAUGUUGGAGUUGUUUUUUUUAAUGAACAGUCUUAGUAAAGGCUGUUGGAUGCCUGCUUCUCCCUCCUUUCCCCCAACAAGGAUAUCACAAAUUGCCAAAUGCCUUCCUGAAAUCCCCUGACGCUUUAUUUGGGGGCAUUUUUCAUUUCCUACUGCUUGUCAGAAAGGGAAAUGAAAAUAGUCUUGCACAUCCUCUUUGGGAUAAAAUGAUACUUGUCAUGAUACAUUUGUGGUGACCGCCAUAUUGCUUUCUCAAUACUCACUUAGUAAUAGGUUCUAGAAUUUUCCUAGAAAUUAAAGUCAAGUUUACUGGUCUGUUGUUUAGAAAAUUCCACUCCCUUUCUUUUGAAAUUUGGCAUAGUAUGUGUAGCAGUCCAGCCCAUAUGUAUAAUUAAGAAGCAAGGAUUGUAUGUGGGCACAUGGCCAUUCUGCGCAUGGCAAUGAACUCUGUUCCCAGCGUGGCUGGAGUUAGGGCGCGAAACCUUGCUUCCCUUUGUCUCACUCACCUGAGGAUAAAAACUCCCCCUUCACCUUGUCGAAAUUUGCAAUUAUCCAAUGGCAAUACACUAUGUAACUCAUCAAUAUGUAUUGAGACACUGUGUACCUUAUCAAUAUGUAUUGAGUACAUUUGCGUAUCAAAGAGAUUAAAUAGGGAGCCGUGGCCAUCUCUCUCUUCUUGGACAAUCUCACAGGUUUGCUACACUGUCUUUCCACCUUUCUCUCUCCUCUCUAUCUCUACCUGAGGCCUAGCCUUCGGCCAGGUAUCUCUUUCUUUUCCAAUGCUAAUACCUAGCAUUCUCUAAUUCUUCCUAUCAUACUCUAUUCAUUCUCCCAGCUGAGCUAUAUCAUCCUCUGACCAGUGAAGUGUUAAAUUGGGAUCUCUGGACGGAAGAUAGCCUUCCAGUGACAUCCAUUGAUCGGAGCAUGGCUGCGGCUCCAAGAUAUUAAUAAUAACUGAUCUCUGACUCAUUUUUGACAUUCCGAACUUGGCUCCCUCAUGCCCUUUGCAGCAUCCAGAACUUCUAUCCUUUUUCUAUCUUCCUACCUUAAGGCUUCUCGCGGGCUCGGGAAGCUUUAGUAUGUCUGUUUUUGGUCCUGUGACAUUUCUCUCAUCCUCCAAGACCUUUCAAAGACUGUGUCCAGUUCUUUCAGUGCUUGGGGGUGGGGGUGGGGGUCUAGUUCAUACAGACCCUGUGAUUUAAAGGGUUUUGAGGGCACCUUGAUGCUCUCUGACCCAGUUCUCCUCGUUUAUUUGGGAUUCAAUGCCCUAGUAACCAUUUUUUGUUCAACUCUUUCUAGUUAAAAAAAGAAGAAGAAAAGGAAGAAUUGGGUUAAUUCUAAGUCCUUACAAUCAGCUGUUAGUAUCUCAUCCAAUCCACUCCAAUGAAAAGUCUCCUUAAUAUCUUCCACUUUACUUCCUCGUUAGAAUGAUUAACGAUGAACUUAGAACUUGGUUCUUGAACGUCUUCGCUCCCUUUUGGCAGACUUCCCCCUGUAGAAUUUCAGGUCACAGCCUUCUUUCUAUUCAUCCUCCCUCUGACCUCUGAAACCUAUGCAAGACAACUGGGGCUGGCUUUUGCCUCUUUUCUCUUUCACAGAUUCUGGGAUGGCAUCAUCAUGCCCUCCCUGGUGGAUGUUCGUAUUGUAUCUACUUAGGGAACCAGUUUCUUGAUAUUGGUUGGAAUCAAGACUAGCAGCAUAGCUUCCUCCUUUGCUUCCUCCACCACUACAUGUCAUGAGAAGAACUCAAGGCGUUAUCCAUGGUUCUGCUUUUAGAGGAGAAAGAGUUCCAGCAGUUGUGUGGAGAAUGGAAAUCCCCCAUUACUACGAUAGCACGACUCCAUGACAAGACUGGAAGGUAUUUCCUAAGCUCCUCAUCUAUUUCCUCAUUUUGGAUCAGGGAACUAUAGUAUGUUUCUUCAUCACAAAAUUACUUCUAUAUGCUUUCUUAAUUCUUUCCAUCAUUUUUUGCCCUGUUAGCUAAUGGAUUCCUUAUAUGAGUAUAUUUUUUUUUAUUUAAAAUGCUGCUUUUCCACCACCUUCAUCUCAUUGUGGACAUUCAAUAUUAAUAUGCACCCCUUUGUGGCCCCCAAAACAACUCUUUUGAUUUUAAACAAAAACAAUUUUACUUCUGAAACCCUGAAUUAUAUCUCUCUGAGGUGAUGGGUGGAGACCUCCUUCUUCUUGUGUACCAUGAGAGGAGAUGCUAUUGAGUCAUUCCAAAGACUGCACGGUGACUCCAGGAAGACCUGACUCUUGUCUGGACUGAGAUUUGAGUCCUCCAAAUCAGAGAGGCCCAAAUUGGGAAAGGGACUUCACAAGGAGCAAAAUUGGAGAAGGCGAAGGACAUAGAGGCUUCUUGCCUUGGAACUGUGGACUGAGAAGCAUGAAGAGAACACCAGGGCAUGAGGUCUGGCUCAGGGCUGGGGUCAACUGGGAGUGGGCGGGAGCAGUGCCUAAGAAAGUGUUCUGGGGUGAGGAGAAGACUAGCUCCGAGUUAUCUAAUGCAGGUGGGCUCUUAGGGGAAGGUCGCUAAGAGAGAUGCUUUCUCUGGCCCACUUUUGACUAUUUAAUAAAUAAUUAUAAGUUAAGAUAUGGUCUCCAGAGAAUUAUAAUCAUAACACAAUGUAUUCCUUUUGAACCAUCGAUUAGAAAAACCUGGAAAGACUUGUUGUAUCAAGUGAGCAGAACCAAUAGAAUUGAUUUCUCCAGAAAGAACAACAUUGUAGAGGCAAGCAGCUUUGAAAGAUUUAAGAACUUUGAUCAGUUCAGAGAUCAAUUGUGAUUUCAGAGGACCAGUGAUGAAUCCUGACAGAGAAAUGAUGGACUUGAGAUUGCCAAUGAAACAUAUUUUUCAACAUGGCCAAUUCAAGAAUUCGUUUUGUUUUUUUUUACUCUGUUACAAAUUGGUUUGUUUUUCCAUUUUGGGAGAAAGUAGAAGAAACAGAGGGAGUUUAGAAUGGGAUUUCCCCCCUCCCACCCUUAGUCCCCAAAUGAGAAAAAAAGGAGUCACAGACCUGCAGGAUAGCUUUGAAAGUUAAAUGUUGAAUUUAUUAUAAACUUUAAGAGAAAAGCAAAUUCUAUAUAAUAUUUGUGAUUUUAUGGACAAUCCUCUUCCAUUCCAUAACAUAUACAAAAAUGCUCAUUUUAGUUGGCAUUUGCUAAAUGUGAAUAAAAAAUUUUGAUGAAAUGAAAAA